ACGGCUGCGGUCGACUGAGGACCCAGCGAGGCGGCGGUGGCACGGACACAGCCUUCUCCACCGUGUUUGUCAACAGCCAGGCUCACCUGCCCCUCACCUUGGAGAAAGCCACCUUUCUGCACGGACCCAGGCUGGAAUACUGACUAUUGUUUGAAAGGUGAACAUUUCGAGCAACUGGGGAACAGGGGACUGGAGAGAAGACAAAUGCCCUGGUUGCCCCUCAGCACCCUCCUGCUGCCACGUCCUCACAGCCUGCCUGUCCUGCAGCAGGGCACGUCUCUCCCUCUCCUUGGAAGAACUUUGGCUGCAAGCAAUGCUUGCCUUGGAGGUCACUCCAAAACGUCGCCGAGCACCAUUCACCCACAUCCAGCCCCAGCCACUCAUCUUCUCGGCCACAGGACAAACAGUGUGCUCCAGCCUUGGCUUGCCUUUCCCCUCCACAUCAUCUGGGCUGACCUCUUGCCUUCCCACGCAGAACAGCUGGCUCCAUCCGAUCUGACAUGUUUCCUGAGGACCUUCUGGGGGCUGCACCAGUUUUCCACUAACACUGUGCUUUGUUUAUGCCCAGAGGUCUCCAGGUCAGGAGGCUGCUGGGGGUGGAGAGCCAGAGCCUUUGCUUUACUGUACACACAGGAGGAGAGGCAGAGCAAGACAAGCUGGAGAUACUCCCCUCAUCGUGGCAGCACCAGCUGCCAUCCCCUGACGGAGCAGAUGAGAGAGCUCGCUGAGAAAAAAAACAGCUUACACAAAACCUGGCUCUGUUAGACAUACAUAUAACUGCUGUGACUCACCACAAGUUUGUGAUGAAGGGAUGAGAAGAGGGAAGCAAGUGGAAGUAGCACUGCUGUCACUGCUCUGAGGAGGCUGUCCUGGACCAUGCAGGAUGUGCAGUACAUCUGCUGGACACUGCUUCCUACCUCAUGCCUGUUCUGAACAGAAAAGAAUAAAUAAGAAAGGGGGAAAAAA
This is a long non-coding RNA of Pseudopipra pipra, 966 nucleotides long. RefSeq lists it as uncharacterized. The record is from RefSeq and is a predicted model, not a curated record. The transcript has 3 exons. NCBI's taxonomy places the organism in Eukaryota, Metazoa, Chordata, Aves, Passeriformes, Pipridae.